AGUGAACGCUGGCUUUAGGCCUAACACAUGCAAGUCGAACGGCAGCACAGUAAGAGCUUGCUCUUACGGGUGGCGAGUGGCGGACGGGUGAGGAAUACAUCGGAAUCUACUUUUUCGUGGGGGAUAACGUAGGGAAACUUACGCUAAUACCGCAUACGACCUACGGGUGAAAUCAGGGGAUCUUCGGACCUUGCGCGUUUGAAUGAUCCGAUGUCGUAUUAGCUGGUUGGCGGGGUAAAGGCCCACCAAGGCGACGAUCCGUAGCUGGUCUGAGAGGAUGAUAAGCCACACUGGAACUGAGACAAGGUCCAGACACGUACGGGAGGCAGCAGUGGGGAAUAUUGGACAAUGGGAGCAAGCCUGAUACAGACAUACCGCGUGGGUGAAGAAGGCCUUCGGGUUGGAAAGCCCUUUUGUUGGGAAAGAAAAGCAGCAGGUUAAUACCCCGCUGGUCUGACGGUACCCAAAGAAUAAGCACCGGCUAAAUUCGUG
RNAcentral lists this ribosomal RNA (492 nucleotides) under uncultured bacterium. Its description in RNAcentral is "partial 16S ribosomal RNA". It matches the Rfam family "Bacterial small subunit ribosomal RNA", at positions 29 to 507 of the family's 1533-position model. The record is from RNAcentral.